CCUACGGGACGCAGCAGUGAGGAAUAUUGGUCAAUGGGCGCGAGCCUGAACCAGCCAAGUAGCGUGAAGGAUGACUGCCCUAUGGGUUGUAAACUUCUUUUAUAAAGGAAUAAAACGAGGCACGUGUGCCUUUUUGCAUGUACUUUAUGAAUAAGGAUCGGCUAACUCCGUGCCCGCAGCCGCGGUAAUACGGAGGAUCCGAGCGUUAUCCGGGUUUAUUGGGUUGAAAGGGAGCGUAGAUGGGUUGUUAAGUCAGUUGUGAAAGUUUGCGGCUCAACCGUAAAAUUGCAAUUGAUACUGGCAGUCUUGAGUACAGUUGAGGUAAGCGGAAUUCGUGGUGGAGCGGUGAAAUGCUUAGAUAUCACGAAGAACCCCGAUUGCGAAGGCAGCUUACUAAACUGUGACUGACAUUGAUGCUCGAAAGUGUGGGUAUCAAACAGGAUUAGAUACCCUGGUAGUC
Molecule: ribosomal RNA, 460 nt
Filed under: uncultured bacterium
Lineage: Bacteria
Description: partial 16S ribosomal RNA
Rfam family: Bacterial small subunit ribosomal RNA
Source: RNAcentral